Octopus sinensis (East Asian common octopus) is the source of this 934-nucleotide long non-coding RNA. RefSeq lists it as uncharacterized. The transcript is spliced from 5 exons. NCBI's taxonomy places the organism in Eukaryota, Metazoa, Mollusca, Cephalopoda, Octopoda, Octopodidae. The record is from RefSeq and is a predicted model, not a curated record.
UUUAGUAACUAAAAAGAUAGCCCGAUCAAUUGGAAACCUAAGCUUGAAAAAAGUCAAUUUCUUUUCAGAAAAACAUUUUUACUGUAGCUGUCUGUCUCUUUAUAUGCAUGUAAACGUGGCUUUAUGCGUAUGUUUAUUGUUUGCUUAUGUGUAUACGUAACCUGUUCCUCUAGUACCAAGCAGAAAUAAAAUGGACGAAUUUAUCUUAAAAUCGCAUGUAUAUGAAAGCUAAGAGGGAGUUAAUAGCUAACUAGAGACGCAGUGACGUCACAAGAGAAUCUAUUGUAAAUUGUAAUAUAUACCUUUAUUUUAUCAUAAAUAUUGCUAUAAACAGCAACCUAUUGAGAAUUGACAAUGUCAAUGCGGUGGCUUGUAUAAUCUGACACGAAAAAUGAUGAGACAAGCCAACUACAGUGACGCAGAAAAAUCACCAGCUUCUUAAACAUGACCGAGUCGUUCGUGCUCAGACUCUGAAAAAAUAGUUGGUGGCCUCUAGCGGAGUUGUGUCCCCUAUGACCAAAGAAAGAAACGUUCUCAAGAGCCAGAUAUUGUCAGGACAGCUGAGUUUGUCGAGCAAAUCUAGAAUAACAUUAACAACCCCUGCAAGUCGAUGAGGCUCAUUGCCGGGCACCUCAAUGUCGCAGAGUCCACUGUCAGACACGUGUGCACGAGAUAUCAAAUUUUGGCUAAAACACAUCCCAGCACUGGUCAGAAGGGCUGGUAGGAAGAAUAUAACAACGGUUCUUUUACAUUUGAAGUCAAGAAGUGUCACAUCUGGUCUGUGAAUGUUGUGGAAAACCGGAACGAAAAAAGCAGUGGGAGAAGUUCACCAAUUUUAGGUCUGACGGAGCCCAAACCACUGUAGAUCUAAACAUAGCAGAUUUCUCAAAGGGAAAGAGAAACAUAGACAGAGACAGAGAUAGGGGGAGAAGUG